CGGACAUCCACCCCGGACAUCCUCCCCGGCUUGGGGAGGUCUCUGCAGCAGCCCUGGGUUAUCCAUCAGCUCUGAGCUGUCUCUUCUUUCCCGACUCACCAGGCUUUCCUGAAGGGCUGUGUAGGAACUACCUGGGCAUCCUUGCCAGCAUUACUACAGUCUGGUUCCUCUGCCAGCUGGGCAUGGAUUCCUCCCUGGAAAGCAAACUUCUAUUUUUUAUUGUGGAAGAGGAAGCGGGAGUUUCCAGUUCCUUUCCAGAUCUGCUGCUGCUGCCUAGGGGCUCCUGGAAGAGGCUGGACACUGUUUCUAUGCAGUGGGAUAUAAAACCAGUUUUCUCACU
This is a long non-coding RNA of Lonchura striata (white-rumped munia), 340 nucleotides long. RefSeq lists it as uncharacterized. Lineage: Eukaryota; Metazoa; Chordata; Aves; Passeriformes; Estrildidae. The record is from RefSeq and is a predicted model, not a curated record.